This 37-nucleotide ribosomal RNA is filed under the name Luffa acutangula var. amara. Its description in RNAcentral is "partial 25S ribosomal RNA". The record is from RNAcentral. Lineage: Eukaryota; Viridiplantae; Streptophyta; Magnoliopsida; Cucurbitales; Cucurbitaceae.
ACCCCAGGUCAGGCGGGACUACCCGCUGANUUUAAGC